UUUUUUGUGAUAGGUUGAAAAUGUGAAAGCUCUGCUAGAGGUGGAGACAUGGGUGCUGCUUCAGCGGCAGCAUCUGCUAUAUAAUGUGUAAGGAGAUGAGGAAUUCUAAGAUGUGGAGUGCUCUUGGUGUCGGAGAUGAAGACUUGAAAAUGAUCGUAUCCAAUGCCGCCUCGAGUACUUUGAUUUGGGGUGACAAUGAUAUACCCUGAUCCACAACACCACAAACAACAGCACUCUCAACAUCAGCACCAACAUUUGCAACAACACCAGCCGCGUCAGCAGCAAGGUGGAUAUUUCAUAGCCCCCCCCGCCACCAGCCCCAAUGAUGCGUCAGCCGUCGGUAUGCCCCCGGAGUAUCACAACCCAUCUGUGCUCGCUCAUCCUCUUCCUCCUUAUGAUGCUCAUGCUGACACUUUUCUUGGAUAAAAGAUGAGAAAGCUUACACAGAGGAGAGUAGUUGAUUAUACUAGCACUGUCGUGCAAUAUAUGCAGUUUGUCAGGAGCAAUGUCGGUUGUUGAAACACCAGUUGUGAGAGUUUGUGCGUCACCUAACAUAAAACAAAGAAAGUCUUCACACCAAAUGGAUGGGAAUCGGUAAACCAUUCAGAACCUAAAACUCAUUUCCUUGGUAAUCUCCAUUACUUUUUGAAUUAGUAUUGUUAUUAUUAUUAUAUUUUUUGCCCACAAAGAGAGCUUGAUACUAAGAAAAUGAGAAGCUUAUGAAACCACAACAGGGUA
This is a long non-coding RNA of Malus domestica (apple), 738 nucleotides long. RefSeq lists it as uncharacterized. Lineage: Eukaryota; Viridiplantae; Streptophyta; Magnoliopsida; Rosales; Rosaceae. The record is from RefSeq and is a predicted model, not a curated record.